ACCCUAUCCCCAUCCAUGGCGAACCCUAAUAAUUCCCCCUCCCCUGCCACGAUUCCGCCUCUCAUUCUCCUCUCCGCAGCCGCCCCCGCCACCAUUACUCCGAUUCCUGCUCGAGCUUCGAUGUAAAUCCUCUAUUGCUCAUAAAAGUCGAGACCUUUAUCGCUCUAAGAAGUGAACUGGUGGAGUAGGAAGAGAAUGUAUUAUUCUUUGUUAUUGAUGAAUCAGAGCUUGUUCUCGCGAGAUGCGGCGCCGAGGCCUCUUCGCCCCGCCGCGGAUACCCAUCAGAGGUUAGGGUUUCUUUUUCUAUUAUUUUUUUGUUUUUUAGUAUUAUUAUUAUUUUCGCUGAAUGCCGUUUUUUGUUGAGUGUGGUGCCAUCUUUUGUAUUUAAGCUGCGAAUUUUAAGAAUAUUUUUAGAUGCGGGCGAGAGUUUUGAGUAACGAAUUUUUUUUUUUUUUUCUUUUGUCUUCUUUUUAGGGUUUCCAGAAUAUUACUGUUCUUGGUGGAAUCUUGG
This 511-nucleotide long non-coding RNA is filed under the name Ananas comosus (pineapple). Its description in RNAcentral is "long non-coding RNA (ACOM_LNC018243)". The record is from RNAcentral. Lineage: Eukaryota; Viridiplantae; Streptophyta; Magnoliopsida; Poales; Bromeliaceae.